RNAcentral lists this ribosomal RNA (505 nucleotides) under uncultured bacterium. RNAcentral describes it as "bacterial SSU rRNA". It matches the Rfam family "Bacterial small subunit ribosomal RNA", at positions 28 to 492 of the family's 1533-position model. The record is from RNAcentral.
GACGAACGCUGGCGGCGUGCCUAAUACAUGCAAGUCGAACGCACUCUCGUUUAGAUUGAAGGAGCUUGCUCCUGAUUGAUAAACAUUUGAGUGAGUGGCGGACGGGUGAGUAACACGUGGGUAACCUGCCCUAAAGUGGGGGAUAACAUUUGGAAACAGAUGCUAAUACCGCAUAAAACCUAACACCGCAUGGUGUAGGGUUGAAAGAUGGUUUCGGCUAUCACUUUAGGAUGGACCCGCGGUGCAUUAGUUAGUUGGUGAGGUAAAGGCUCACCAAGACCGUGAUGCAUAGCCGACCUGAGAGGGUAAUCGGCCACACUGGGACUGAGACACGGCCCAGACUCCUACGGGAGGCAGCAGUAGGGAAUCUUCCACAAUGGACGAAAGUCUGAUGGAGCAACGCCGCGUGAGUGAAGAAGGUUUCGGAUCGUAAAACUCUGUUGUUGGUAGAAGAAUGUAUCUGAUAGUAACUGAUCAGGUAGUGACGGUAUCCAACCAGAAAGCC